Molecule: long non-coding RNA, 702 nt
Organism: Hyla sarda
Lineage: Eukaryota; Metazoa; Chordata; Amphibia; Anura; Hylidae
Exons: 3
Source: RefSeq, a predicted model, not a curated record
UAGUAUUUAUGGUCCAUUCUACAGAAGAGUACAUGAAGCUGUUCCUCACUAUGUCCUGUGUGCUGCUUCUAGGCUUGAUAUGGGAAUGAAAAAAUGAUGUACGCAGUAGUGAAUCACUCUACAACGCCAAAAAGACCCCAAGAAUCAAAGGAGCCGGAGGAUGAAAAAAUUUUGUAUGCAAUAGUGACUCACUCAACAACGCCAAAAAUAUCCCAAGUAUCAAGGGAACCGGAGGUUGUUUAUGCUGAUGUUAAAAAACAAUGACGUAUAAUUGUACAUUUAAGAAGAGAGAUACGUCCAUCAUCAAACAUUGUUUUUUUCACAAUUCAAUAUAGCAAACCUCUCCUGCUCUGGACAAUUCCUGACAUGGACAGAGGGGGUAGUAGAAAGCACUGUGUCUCACUGGAAAGAACUACAGGACAUCCUCCAGGGCAUUCAGCAACUCAUCUGGAAAUAUUUUUUUAUUUUUAUAAAAGUUAUUUACAAAUCUGUAUAAUUUUUUAUUAAAAUACAUCCCCUACAAAUAUAUUUUCCCAAUAUAGUUAAUAAGUUUCUGAUGGGGGAGGGGUAUUGGCUUAGGGCCCUCUCUACCCGCCCUGACACCUUUUUUCCCAUUCAAUAGGGCAACAUCAGUCUAUUGUUGUUUAUGUACAUAGGGCUUGCUGUAAAGCAAAUGUCUAAAUGCUGGUAAAACUCAACUCU